UACAACGAAUUUUUACGUAAUCAGCUUUUUAUGCUGACUUUCAUUCGGAGGAGUAUUACUACUUUAGAGGGAGGGGGUAUUGCGUCGUGUCAAUUCAGCGGCAUAAAAAAAGCGCCUAAAGGCGCUUUUUUUGUUGU
RNAcentral lists this small RNA (137 nucleotides) under Enterobacter asburiae. RNAcentral describes it as "sRNA STnc130". It matches the Rfam family "Enterobacteria sRNA STnc130". Lineage: Bacteria; Pseudomonadati; Pseudomonadota; Gammaproteobacteria; Enterobacterales; Enterobacteriaceae. The record is from RNAcentral.